AGAUUGAACGCUGGCGGCAUGCCUAACACAUGCAAGUCGAACGGGAGUAGCAAUACUCUAGUGGCGGACGGGUGAGGAAUACGUAGGAAUUUGCCCUUAAGUGGGGGAUAACCCGGGGAAACCCGGAUUAAUACCGCAUGACCUCGAAAGAGCAAAGUGGGGGAUCGCAAGACCUCACGCUUUUGGAGAAGCCUACGUCGGAUUAGCUAGCUGGUGAGGUAAUGGCUCACCAAGGCGACGAUCCGUAACUGGUCUGAGAGGAUGAUCAGUCACACCGGAACUGAGACACGGUCCGGACUCCUACGGGAGGACAGCAGUGGGGAAUAUUGGACAAUGGGCGCAAGCCUGAUCCAGCAAUGCCGCGUGUGUGAAGAAGGCCUGGUGUAGACAGUUAA
RNAcentral lists this ribosomal RNA (395 nucleotides) under uncultured soil bacterium. Its description in RNAcentral is "bacterial SSU rRNA". It matches the Rfam family "Bacterial small subunit ribosomal RNA", at positions 26 to 429 of the family's 1533-position model. The record is from RNAcentral.